RNAcentral lists this transfer RNA (72 nucleotides) under Lepidothrix coronata (blue-crowned manakin). RNAcentral describes it as "tRNA-Arg". Lineage: Eukaryota; Metazoa; Chordata; Aves; Passeriformes; Pipridae. The record is from RNAcentral.
CUCAGAAAGUUAGUCUAGUAAAGACAGUUGAUUUCGGCUCAACAAACCACAGUCCCACUCCGUGACUUUCUC